RNAcentral lists this small RNA (27 nucleotides) under Bombyx mori (domestic silkworm). RNAcentral's name for it is "ovarian small RNA-482". The record is from RNAcentral. Lineage: Eukaryota; Metazoa; Arthropoda; Insecta; Lepidoptera; Bombycidae.
UUUGCCAUGAUAUGAUUGCCGCGACUU